GACGAACGCUGGCGGCGUGCUUAACACAUGCAAGUCGAACGGAAAGGCCCUGCUUUUGUGGGGUGCUCGAGUGGCGAACGGGUGAGUAACACGUGAGUAACCUGCCCUUGACUUUGGGAUAACUUCAGGAAACUGGGGCUAAUACCGGAUAGGAGCUCCUGCUGCAUGGAGGGGGUUGGAAAGUUUCGGCGGUUGUGGAUGGACUCGCGGCUUAUCAGCUUGUUGGUGGGGUAGUGGCUUACCAAGGCUUUGACGGGUAGCCGGCCUGAGAGGGUGACCGGCCUCAUUGGGACUGCGAUACGGCCCAGACUCCUACGGGAGGCAGCGGUGGGGAGUAUGGCACAAUGGGCGGAAGCCUGAUGCAGAAACGCCGCGUGCGGGAUGACGGCCUUCGGGUUGUAAACCGCUUUCGCCUGUGACGAAGCGUGAGUGACGGUAAUGGGUAAAGAAGCACCGGCUAACUACGUG
RNAcentral lists this ribosomal RNA (468 nucleotides) under uncultured bacterium. RNAcentral describes it as "partial 16S ribosomal RNA". It matches the Rfam family "Bacterial small subunit ribosomal RNA", at positions 28 to 507 of the family's 1533-position model. The record is from RNAcentral.